This 582-nucleotide ribosomal RNA is filed under the name Stemphylium vesicarium. RNAcentral describes it as "eukaryotic LSU rRNA". The stretch from base 207 to 360 matches the Rfam family "5.8S ribosomal RNA". The record is from RNAcentral. Lineage: Eukaryota; Fungi; Ascomycota; Dothideomycetes; Pleosporales; Pleosporaceae.
UUCCGUAGGUGAACCUGCGGAGGGAUCAUUACACAAUAUGAAAGCGGGUUGGGACCUCACCUCGGUGAGGGCUCCAGCUUGUCUGAAUUAUUCACCCAUGUCUUUUGCGCACUUCUUGUUUCCUGGGCGGGUUCGCCCGCCACCAGGACCAAACCAUAAACCUUUUUGUAAUUGCAAUCAGCGUCAGUAAACAAUGUAAUUAUUACAACUUUCAACAACGGAUCUCUUGGUUCUGGCAUCGAUGAAGAACGCAGCGAAAUGCGAUACGUAGUGUGAAUUGCAGAAUUCAGUGAAUCAUCGAAUCUUUGAACGCACAUUGCGCCCUUUGGUAUUCCAAAGGGCAUGCCUGUUCGAGCGUCAUUUGUACCCUCAAGCUUUGCUUGGUGUUGGGCGUCUUUGUCUCUCACGAGACUCGCCUUAAAAUGAUUGGCAGCCGACCUACUGGUUUCGGAGCGCAGCACAAUUCUUGCACUUUGAAUCAGCCUUGGUUGAGCAUCCAUCAAGACCACAUUUUUUUCAACUUUUGACCUCGGAUCAGGUAGGGAUACCCGCUGAACUUAAGCAUAUCAAUAAGCGGAGGAA